This 886-nucleotide ribosomal RNA is filed under the name uncultured organism. Its description in RNAcentral is "bacterial SSU rRNA". It matches the Rfam family "Bacterial small subunit ribosomal RNA", at positions 85 to 965 of the family's 1533-position model. The record is from RNAcentral.
AAGGCGACGACCGGCGCACGGGUGAGUAUCGCGUAUGUAACCUACCUCUGACUGGAGCAUAGCCCGAAGAAAUACGGAUUAAUACUCCAUAAUACUGCGAGAAGGCAUCUAUUUUCAGUUAAAGCUUCGGCGGUCAGAGAUGGGCAUGCGUAACAUUAGCUGGUUGGUGAGGUAACAGCUCACCAAGGCUACGAUGUUUAGGGGGUCUGAGAGGAUGGUCCCCCACACUGGUACUGAGACACGGACCAGACUCCUACGGGAGGCAGCAGUGAGGAAUAUUGGUCAAUGGGCGAAAGCCUGAACCAGCCAUGCCGCGUGAAGGAUGACGGCCCUAAUGGGUUGUAAACUUCUUUUAUACGGGAAGAAACCCCUCUACGUGUAGGGGGCUGACGGUACCGUACGAAUAAGCAUCGGCUAACUCCGUGCCAGCAGCCGCGGUAAUACGGAGGAUGCAAGCGUUAUCCGGAUUUAUUGGGUUUAAAGGGUGCGUAGGCGGAAAAUUAAGUCAGUGGUGAAAUCCUGCAGCUUAACUGUAGAAUUGUCAUUGAUACUGGUUUUCUUGAAUACAGUUGAGGUAGGCGGAAUGAGUAAUGUAGCGGUGAAAUGCUUAGAUAUUACUCAGAACACCAAUUGCGAAGGCAGCUUACUAAAACUGUGAUUGACGCUGAGGCACGAAAGCGUGGGGAGCGAACAGGAUUAGAUACCCUGGUAGUCCACGCCGUAAACGAUGAUCACUCGUUGUUGGCAAUACACCGUCAGCGACUGAGCGAAAGUUAUUUAAGUGAUCCCACCUGGGGAGUACGAUUGCAAAGAUUGAGACUCAAAGGAAUUGACGGGGGCCCGCACAAGCGGAGGAACAUGUGGUUUAAUUCGAUGUAUACGCGAG